This 72-nucleotide transfer RNA is filed under the name Agrocybe pediades. It matches the Rfam family "tRNA". From Rfam's summary of the family: Transfer RNA (tRNA) molecules are approximately 80 nucleotides in length. Their secondary structure includes four short double-helical elements and three loops (D, anti-codon, and T loops). Lineage: Eukaryota; Fungi; Basidiomycota; Agaricomycetes; Agaricales; Agrocybaceae. The record is from Rfam by way of RNAcentral.
GGUGGAUUGGCGUAAUGGCAACGCGUUAGUUUCCGGAGCUGAAGACUGCGGGUUCGAGUCCCGCAUCCAUCG